RNAcentral lists this ribosomal RNA (427 nucleotides) under uncultured beta proteobacterium. RNAcentral's name for it is "bacterial SSU rRNA". It matches the Rfam family "Bacterial small subunit ribosomal RNA", at positions 355 to 774 of the family's 1533-position model. Lineage: Bacteria; Pseudomonadati; Pseudomonadota; Betaproteobacteria. The record is from RNAcentral.
UGGGGAAUAUUGGACAAUGGGGGCAACCCUGAUCCAGCCAUGCCGCGUGAGUGAAGAAGGCCUUCGGGUUGUAAAGCUCUUUUAGUCGGAAAGAAAGAGUUGCAAUGAAUAAUUGUGAUUUAUGACGGUACCGACAGCAAAAGCACCGGCUAACUACGUGCCAGCAGCCGCGGUAAUACGUAGGGUGCGAGCGUUAAUCGGAAUUACUGGGCGUAAAGGGUGCGCAGGCGGUCUUGCAAGUCAGAUGUGAAAGCCCCGGGCUUAACCUGGGAAUUGUGUUUGAAACUACAAGACUAGAGUGCAGCAGAGGGGAGUGGAAUUCCAUGUGUAGCAGUGAAAUGCGUAGAGAUGUGGAAGAACACCGAUGGCGAAGGCAGCUCCCUGGGUUGACACUGACGCUCAUGCACGAAAGCGUGGGGAGCAAACA